Molecule: ribosomal RNA, 448 nt
Filed under: uncultured bacterium
Lineage: Bacteria
Description: partial 16S ribosomal RNA
Rfam family: Bacterial small subunit ribosomal RNA
Source: RNAcentral
AAUGAACGCUGGCGGCAGGCCUAACACAUGCAAGUCGAACGAGGCAGCAAUGCCUAGUGGCGGACGGGUGAGUAACGCGUGGGAACGUGCCCCUUGGUACGGAAUAGCCCGGGAAACUGGGAGUAAUACCGUAUGUGGUCGAGAGACGAAAGAUUUAUCGCCAAGGGAUCGGCCCGCGUUGGAUUAGGUAGUUGGUGGGGUAAUGGCCUACCAAGCCGACGAUCCAUAGCUGGUUUGAGAGGAUGAUCAGCCACACUGGGACUGAGACACGGCCCAGACUCCUACGGGAGGCAGCAGUGGGGAAUCUUAGACAAUGGGGGAAACCCUGAUCUAGCCAUGCCGCGUGAUCGAUGAAGGCCUUAGGGUUGUAAAGAUCUUUCAGUGGGGAAGAUAAUGACGGUACCCACAGAAGAAGCCCCGGCUAACUUCGUGCCAGCCGCCGCAGUAA